RNAcentral lists this ribosomal RNA (1116 nucleotides) under Triticum aestivum (bread wheat). RNAcentral's name for it is "partial small subunit ribosomal RNA". The record is from RNAcentral. Lineage: Eukaryota; Viridiplantae; Streptophyta; Magnoliopsida; Poales; Poaceae.
GGAUAAUCCGACGCCCGCACCACCACUCGAUCCCCUCCUCCGACACGUCGCUACCAGCGGGGGAAGCGGCUGCCGCCGCAUCCCAUCGGCCUCUGGUGGUCACCGGCUCGUCGCCGUUGAGCCCUCCUCAUCCGAAGAGAAGACGGCGAUGGUGGAGGCCUGGCGCAGCGGAGUGGUGGCGAAGCCGAGGUUCGCCGGAGCCCAUGAGCCUGGGCGGCGGCUGGGGCAGCGGUCGAGAGCCGCGACAGCGCGCCCGAAGAGGCGGGCGAAGCGCUACUCCGCGCGAAUGCUCGGGCCCGCAGUAGCCUCUAGUGGUGGUGGGGGGUUGACGCCGACACCUUCCAUCCCUACUCCGAGGUGGAUGACGCCGGAGGCGCCGGUGGGCGCUGACACGAAGCCAAGCGCGGCCUCUUCGUCCACAGUGGCGCGCAUCGGGACGGGUGCGUAGCCAGGAGGGCCACGGCUCGGGCCAACAGCCUCGCCGGCGGGCGUCGGCGUCGAGGGCGGGAGCCAAGGGGCCAGUGGAGGAGGUGGAGGCGGAGAUCAGGGGGGCGAUCCAGGCGCAGCGGCGGCCCCGUUCAUCAUCGGGGUGCUCGGGCCGGCCACCAUCCGAGGGUCGAGCCCCAUGGGCGCAUGGCCAUGGGCGCGAGGAGCACCGCUGUGGGUGUGUCCUGUGGCGUGGCGACCCUGUCCCGGGCGUGGUGAGCACCACGGGCGCCUCUCCUAGCGCCACGAUGGUCGCGUCCAGCGGCACGACGGAUAGCCUGGCGACGGAACCGCCGGAGUCUACCCAGUCCAUGGAAACGGCGACCGUAGCGUCGGCCAUCCUCGUGGAUCAGACGGAGGAAGAAGGAGACGAGGCUCGGCAUCUCACCGGCGGCGCUACUUAUACCAUCUGAAGAGACACGAGCGAGAAGGCGUCUAUGCGAGACAAACCGCACAACAGUUUGGGCAAGGGGAGAUUUUCUCUUAAUUACAAAUUGUAAUUAAUUCUAACAGAACCGAACGCCCCUGAAAGUUAGGCACGCAGGCCUUGGGGGACAAGUUAACAAGGACCACCUCUUCAUAAGUUUAUUACUUUAUCCGUCUGGUAUUAGUUGUCUUAAACGGAUAUAU